CUGCCCAAUGACCUACUUCUGAAAUUGCUGGCAAGAAACACGCGUCCCCAGCAGCAGGCCCCAUACCCUGGCAAGGGCUGGAACCACCUGUGCAGUCAGUCCAGUCACAAGAUACGGCGUUCUGUGUUUUCAGGUUUAUUCUCCCAGUGGGGAACAUCUGGUGAUCUGCAAGACCAUCUCUGCUAGAAAUGGAUAACUUCACGAAUGAUCAGUCAGGCCCAUGUCAGAGGAACAGGCUGAUAGGAUUGCUAGAAACAGAUGACAGUAUCCAGGAAGAUAAACCUGCAUCUAGUACAAAGGAAGAAAGAUCGGGACAAUAUGGAAAGAAGGGAGAACCCCGCCCCUUGGAGACCCCUUACCAGAAGGAAAGCAGUGACUACUCUCCUAAAGUCAUGAUUAAUCUGAACUAUCGGCCAGGACUUGUGAGCAACCAAAAGGACCCCAAUCGCUUUGACAGAGACAGGCUCUUCAGUGCAGUCUCAAGGGGCAGCCCUGAGGCACUGGAUGGCUUACUUGACUACUUAAGGAGGACCUCGAAAUUUCUCACCAAUUCUGAAUACACAGAUGCAAAGACGGGGAAGACUUGCUUAAUGAAAGCCCUGCUGAAUUUAAAAAAUGGAAGGAAUGACACAAUCCCACUUUUGCUGGAAAUAGACCAGAAGACACAGAAUCCCAGGCCGCUUGUCAAUGUGGCAUGCUCUGACUGUUACUACAGAGGCCAGACAGCACUCCAUAUUGCCAUAGAGAAAAGGAGCCUGGACUUAGUGAAGGUUCUAGUAGAGCAUGGAGCUGAUGUCCACGCCAGAGCUCAUGGUGAAUUCUUCGGAAAGAAGAAAGAGGGAGUUUGCUUUUAUUUUGGUGAACUUCCUCUCUCUUUGGCUGCUUGUACCAACCAGUUUGAGGUGGUGGAAUAUCUUCUAAACAACCCUCACCAAAAAGCCAGACUCCAGGAGCAAGAUACACUGGGCAACACAGUCCUCCAUGCCCUAGUGAUGAUUGCAGAUGACACUGAGGAGAACACCAAGUUUGUGAGCACAAUAUAUGUUGAAAUCCUGAAGGCAGGUGUGAAGACUGACCCAACACUGAAACUGGAGGAGGUCGUGAAUUAUGACGGACUAAAUCCUCUGCAGCUUGCUGCCAAGACGGGCAAAGUGGAGAUCUUCAAACACAUCAUCCAAAGAGAGAUCAAAGACCCUGUGUACAGGCACCUGUCCCGCAAGUUCACUGAAUGGACCUAUGGACCUAUCCAUGUCUCCCUCUAUGAUUUAUCUUCUCUAGACAGCUUUGAGGAAAACUCUGUGCUGGAGAUUCUGGCAUACAGCAGUGACACACCAAAUCGGUACAAAAUGGUGGUUUUGGAGCCACUGAACAAACUGCUUCAGCAGAAGUGGGAAACGUUUGCUUCCAAGAGAUUCUACUUCAGUUUUAUCUCAUACCUGUCAUUCAUGAUCAUCUUUACAGCCAUUGCCUACUAUCAGCCCUUACGGGUAAAGCCUUCAUUUCCAGUGGAGUUCACAGCUGGAGGCUUCCUGUGGGUCUCUGGGCUGAUCAUUAUCUUGCUUGGAGGUGUAUAUCUAAUUUUUGCUCAGAGUCUGUAUCUGCGGAGGAGACGCCAGUCCCUGAAGACUAUGUGUUCUGACAGCUGUGUUGAGAUCUUGAUCUUCAUCCAGGCUUUCUCCUUGCUGUUGUCAGCAGUCCUGUAUGGUGCAAGUUCAGAAAACUAUGUGGCAGUGAUGGUGUUCUCCCUGCUUUUGGGAUGGGUGAACAUGCUGUAUUACACUCGGGGCUUUCAGCGCAUUGGAAUUUACAGUGUCAUGAUACAGAAGACUAUCCUGAGAGAUCUGUUGCGUUUCCUCUUGGUUUAUAUUGUCUUCCUCUUUGGCUUUGCUGCAGCUCUUGUUACGCUGUUGGGGGACGCUCCUUCACUCUCUCAGAACAAGUCUGUUGCUCAGCUGGAGAAUGCUGGGAGCCAUGCUAUGUAUGGCGGGCUGCUCAGCGUCUCCCUGGAGCUCUUCAAGAUCACCAUUGGGAUGGGUGACCUGGAUUUUCAUGAACAUGCCAGAUUCAGAUACUUUGUCAUGCUUCUGCUGCUGCUUUUUGUGAUCCUCACUUACAUCCUUCUGCUCAACAUGCUGAUUGCGCUCAUGAGUGAGACUGUCACUGAUAUUUCUGAUAACAGCAAGAGUGUCUGGAAGCUGCAGAGGGCUAUUGCUAUUCUAGAAAUAGAGAAGGCCUGGCUGUGGCGCCAAGGAGGAAAGAGGAGAUCAGGCUGCUUGAUGUCAGUGGGCCUCAAUAAAAAAGAUGAGAGAUGGUGCUUCAGAGUGGAGGAAAUUAAAUGGACAAGUUGGGCAAAGGAAGUGGGAGUUCUUAAGGAAGAGCCUGGAAAAAACAGUGAUUCAGAAGUAAAUCCAGAAGAGACGAGAUCACGGAAACAGGUGCCACAGAAACAACUGAGAUCAGCUGUUUCAGAGGAGCAGUCACUGCCGCAGCCCCAGCUACCAGCAACUGAGAUGAUGCCUCUAAAGGGACAAACCAGAAAUCUUUAGCAGAACAUCAACCUCUCUCAAAAAGAAACUGAAGACAUGAUCAGUGUGGACUGUAAGGCGUUACCAAAGUCCUGAUUACAUUUCACCAGUACUGUGCUGACUUCAUUGCCAUACAAGUUAACUCUUGUUUUUUGUGACAUCUUAUCAGUUUGUGCAGCCACUUCUGAAACUGUAACAGACUGUUGCAUUGGAUACAUCUUUCAGAGAAGGAAAGUCACUGCACAGAACACCAGCCCCAGCCCUCUAAAACUCACAAAUGAAGAACGAUGGAUAGUAGACAGAGACGGGCAGAUGCAGCAGAGCACUACAUCACGUUGGUCAGAAGGUUUAGCAGUGCCCAAACUGCUGUGCAGUUAUUUGUGCUCAUGGAAAAAUGGAGAUUUUUGAGGAGUUACUUUUUCUGCAGUGAGGUCCCCCCUAUGAAGCUGAGGUGAGUCAGUGCUAUUGAGGUUAACCUCCGUAACCUUCCAUUUUUUUUGUGUCUUCAGUCAAUUGGCUCCUCUUUGGUUUCAACAACCGAGCCACUUUCCAUUUUGGUCAUGUAGCAAACAGGAAAGCUGCCUGGGAUUUACUUCAUGGGAUGUCUGCUAUUCCUGCCAGAGAAAGGACUUAGAAGCUGGUUCAUGGCUUUGAAGGCCCAACAGAAUUUUGGAAACCACUCUUAAGAGAGCAUAAUGUUUUGUCACAAAACUCUUCAGUCCUUUGCACAACAAAUUAUUGAGUGGUGAAGUCCCCUCUCCCUUCUGCUCCUUGUGUUUUCCUACCCACCUGCAUGGAUCCUGCGUCUUAAAUCCAUCUGUAUGCUAAGGGGGAAGCUUGGCAAUGUUCUCAUCUGAGGAAAAAAAAAAGAAAAUAUUCUCAAACCUCAGUGAAUGAAUAGCUGCAGAAUCUCUCCUCUGUCUACUUUGUGUAUGAGCCAAAAGACUCUGAAGGCCCAGCCAUGCUGUGGAGAGAAGACACCAGCAGCUCUCAUUAUCUUCCGUGGAUGUUUGUGGAUGCUCAAAUCCUCUCCUGUGCUAUUUGGUCAAAGUUGCCUGGUCCCUGACUGGGAUAGGAGGUGAAUGCAGACUGCAUUGCUUCCCAGCUGCAUCUCCUCCAUCACACUUUGCCAGGUCAUUGCUUUCUGUGGCAUCUAUACCAGGCUUCCAAUGUUUCCCACUGCACACUACUCCUUCUCACUGCUUAUCAGUGUAAUUUUCUUGAAAUAAGCUUCGCACCCAGUUUGUGUAUGGUUCCCAGCUCCCCUCAAGGCUGUUUUCCUAAGGGGUGGAGGUUGAAGCAGGUUUCUCUUACUCCCCAAAUACUUUGCACAUUUUUCUUUUCCCUGUUUUUUUCCAAAGUGUGCUCAGAGGCUGAAGCCAGUAUAAGGGGGUGGAUGUAUCUGCGUCCCGGCUGAUUCCUUCUCUCUCUUCAUGACCCCAUGUGCUUCUGAGCAUAUUUUCCAUUGCCUCGUUAGCUGGUUAAAGGAGUCUUUGAAAUGUGACAAGCAGAAGGGCUCAGACAAAGAGCAGAUGCUUUAUACAGCGUCUACGUGAGCUGCAAAGAGUUAUUUCCAAAGCGAGGAGGCUGGCAGAUUUGUCAGCUGGACUGUUCCUGCGAUCAGUGAUUAGGUUUGUUCUUCUUCGCUGUAUUUUAAAAUCUAUAUCUGUAAUUUAUUCCUCUGGGACUGAAGAAAAAAAAAAAGGCAACCUUUUAAAGAAAACCGUUCCCCUUCACCACUUCCUGGCUGCUUCAGCAGCAGCACAUCAGAAGGGCGUGUGACUGCGGCUGCCUCACGGCUGGCGUCUCUCAUUGCCAUCUGAGCCCACACAGUGUUUCCUUUGCUUCUGCUGCCAUCUUUUUCAGCUCAGAUACGGGAGAUGCAGAGUAUUACAGCCUUCCUGGACGGUCAGGCUCUGAUGGUUGUCAAAUGUUGUGAACACAGGGAAUCCUUAGAGGAGGGGACUUGGAGGCAGCUCGAAGAAGUGUGUAUGUGACCUGUUGCUCCCUGCUCUAAGGAUGCUUGGAAAAUGUCUGCUUUCUGGACAAAGAGCUCCGUGUCUCUUUGAUGGUUCUUCUUCCCUUCCCCAGUCCCCACAUUCCCAAAGAAUUUUCUACACAGUUAACUUUUCUGAUUGCUCAGCAUUUGCUAUUUCACCGUGGUUAUCACUUGUAAUAACACAUCCUCCAUACAAGUAGCACGUGGCGCACAGUGCUCAGUAUGAACUGAGGGGGAAGCUCUGGGCAGUCUGCUCCAAACGAGAGUCAACAGUACAGAGAGAUGAGGGAUCCAGAAAAGCCCAAGAACUGAUGGUAGAGGGGAGUAGAAAUGCACAGGAUCCCUUAACAUACCCUGGGCAUCCUGCUGUAAAACGUCAAUGUUUCUGAUAAUAAUAAUUAUAUAUUAAAUAAAAAAGGAACACCAGCGCUCUGUAUGUGUGUGAUGGGGGAAACCUAAGCUCUGCACUGACAAAGGACUAUGAUGAGGGGCAUCUGAGAGCUGCUGUAUUUCUUAAACCCCUGCUGUGAUCAAGGGGAUCUGUCUGCACGUUUCUGUGAUGUGGCAUCCCACGUAGCAAGCACCAGAGGAGGAAGUGGACAGUACAUAGUCCCUAGGGGCUUCUCCAGACAUCCUGUUGUGCUAGCUGUACUAAAGGUGCUGAUAGAAAUGAAGGAAAAUGCUAAAAUGUACCUCUCGGUAACAUAAGUUUGCCCUUCAGUAGCUCUUUGCAUCUGCAGUUUUAUUAAAAUGUCACUGCUGUACACCUCGAAACCUCAGCCAGGAAACCCACAGUAGUCACCAUCUCCGUGAGCAAUGAGAUGUGCAGAGCUGGAAAGUCAGCAGAGAAAGAGAGCUGCUUUUGCCUGGCAUCUCCAGUCCUCCUCCCUCCUUCAUCUCAAAACUGGGAACACCAAGCUCACUCUUGCACCUGCUCUACCUAAUGAAUCAGGUUUGCUGUGGUGCAGUAUGGAGCACAGACCCAAAGUGAACGGAGCCUGUAAGAAAGCUGCAGCGGAUGAACUGCUCUCUUCAAGGUCCGAAACACAAAGCAGCAGAGCUCACGGAUGGCAUUGCAGCUACACUGCAGCACAUAUUGGAUAGAGUCUGUAAUGAAAGCCAUGACUCCAGACUGACUGAUGACAAGAUAAUCAUUGCCAUGGUAUCUGGGCAAGUGUUUCUGGAAAACCAUUGACUGAGAAGCACGCUGAACACCCUUGAAAUGGCUGAGGUCAAACUCUGUGUGCCUGGGGUUGCAUCUUAUUUUGGCCCUGAACUUUGCCCAUUUGGUGUGAACUGUGAUGAGGUGACAGAUCUCCUUGUUGGAGCUCCGUUUUAUCACAUCCAAGGAGAAGAAGGAAGGGUUUACGUCUAUUGCCUGGAGACAAAGGUAAAAACACUGGUAGCGUAAACAGUCCAUGUUGGGGAUUUUCCAACCAUGCCUAAGUAGUGACAAAUAAAACAUUCCUCCUUUGUGCUCUCACUGAAUGUGCUCUCCCUGUAUGGUAGAGGACUGCAGGAUGAAGCCAGCGAUCCUAUCUGAGCUGUUAGAGUAUAAAAAAAGAAAUAACUGAAGAAAUAAAACCAUCCUGUGCAUGAGAUAUACAGAUAUCACAGCGUGAUAAAACCGUUUCUUCUGCUUGUAUGCAGGACCCCUAACUGAGCAGCGACCACUCCUUUUGCAAGGUUUGGGUUUACUGUGGCCAGCAUUGGAGACAUCAGUGGGGAUGGAUAUGAGGACAUUGCAGGUGGAGGCCCCAUGAAGAUCAGCUGUCAAACAGUUCCUCUUUCGGCACCAUUGACAUCUGGAAAGGUGAUAAAGACAAGAUGAAGAGCUCUUUCUCUCAGGUAGUUGUCUUGUUGGGGGUUGUCUCCAGUGCAGUUUGAGAGGGGAGAGCUUGUGUUUCUGGAGCAGGAGGCUGGGAGGAAGGGCUUCCACAUUCCAUUUCCAUCGAUGAAUGAGAAAUUUGUAGAUGUUGGAUGGCCUGUGGGGCUCAGGUUCCUGCAGCAGAGGUGCUCCUCAUUGUAGUUACUUGUCUGUAGGCCAGGGCGUGGGAUUCACCUGCUGCCUGCAGGGAAACACACUCUUUUGCAAACCUGCCUGCUCGUUCCAGGAAGCUGACAGUCAAAAUGUUGCAAGGCAGGAGCAUUGAGAAACCAGCCUCACCAGCAGACUAUGAAAGGAAGUGUAUUUUUCAAAGGACAAGAGGGAGAUCUCAACUUAUAUUUGUUGUUCCCCCCAUUAAAGAGUAAAAGUCCGUGAUAUUUCAUCAGGACUCCAGUACUUUGGACAAUCCAUCAAUGGUGGCUUUGCUUGCACUAAUGAUGGGCUCCAGAAUAUCCCAGUAGGGUCACUGCAGGAUGUGGUUGUGCUCUGGUAGGUAACGAGUGCUGCUUUUUAAUUUAUUGGGGAAAUGGUUCAAAGACAAAUUUAGAAUCUGUGUUCCAAGCACUGUGUAAUGAUUCUAUUUUUAAUUUGGCAUCAGAGGGACAUAAAAAAAUCUUUCCCAGUGCUAGAAGAAAUAAUAAAAAAUGUGAAACAUUCAGCUCACAUUGCAUCGGCUUUUGCCUCUGAGCUUCUAAAGCUUUGAGCAACUAAUGAACAUGAACAGAUUAACAUAGCUCUUAAUGCCUGCAGUUCAGCACUGGUGAUUUAAGUCAUUUUGACACAAGAGAACCCUUCUGGCUGAGCAGGCCUUGUUUUCAAUCAGCUGUCUGGGAGUAGAUGACUUGUGGAGUUCACCAGAGAGAGGACAAGAUGGACAGCUUCGGUUUUGUUCUUGCAUUUUGUAUUUGAAAACCUGCUGUAGAUAAAGGGAGAAUUUGUACCACUAGAUAAUGAGCUUAUGUAAUGGAAACAUAAACAGAGUGUUUCAUUUUGAAACUCUCUCCAUACUGGUGUAUUUUGGCUGUCUGUUGCUUCAGACUGACGGGGUUUUGUACAUUCCCAGCAAAAAGUGGAACUUCUGUAAAUAGGCCAGCGUGGCCCAGGUGAAACGUUAUGGAAAAGCUGAGCACUUCUCAGUCUUGCUGCCAGGAUUUCUUACAACUUUUGCUUUUUCUGUAAUGAUUCAAGCACUGAUACGUGUUUCGUGCUUGCUCUUCGCUGACCAGCUUGAGACCAGUUGUUCACUCUCUCACCCGCUUGAGAUUCAAUCCUGAGAGAAUUCUGAUUUUCCAGAACAGCAGCAUCAUUACAUCAAAGCUGCAUUUCAGUAUAAUCCCAGCUCUGCCAGUGUCUCAGCAAGGUGAUAAGUGGGAACUGUGAUCAGACUACAGUCUGCAGUGCUUUGCUUCCUCAGAAACUCUGCACCGAGGAUGACUUCUGGUACAUCUAACAAAGCAUGCAGAAAAUCUCAGGGCCUAAACUGUCAGAGCCCCUUCGUUUCCCUCAGCUUAUAGGAAGCUGUUGGGAAUCUGUCGCUGUGUUUUUAUCUCCUCUGUGAAUGCUGGAGCUGCAGAUUGGAGACAACGCUUUAAUGUUAAGAAGGAAGCAUUUUCCUCCACGCUCUGAAUGAUAUUGAAUAGUUAACUGUUGCAUUAUCCUGUGUGUGAAAGUACUUGGAGGGAGUAAUUACCAGAACAAGAUGAUUUGGGUUGCUCAGUUAUUAAAUAAGAGUAGGAAAUACAGGUAACCUGUCUCACUUUUCUCUCUGCUUCUAGAAGGGAAGUAGUGGUGGGCCACUCUAAGGGAGCGAAUGUUCUACAAGCAGUGGGGAUGACUUAUACAUGACAACUGUGUCUUGAACGAUCCUAAAAAUCUCCAUUUUAAGAGGGUGAUGGCUGAGCCAUCCUCUCCUGCUAUUCAUGCGGCCAACCAAUACCAUUCACUUCUACAGACUUACCCUUAAACUGCGGAGCUGGGCAUCCAGUGUUCAAGAAAACAGCUAUUUAGUUUGUCUCACCCAGCUGCAAUCAAGACUAAAGAACCCCCUGUGCAUUUUCUUCACUAGAUAAAUGGAGAAAAUCACUUUAAUGCUACCAUCGGGUUACAGCUUUGGGUUCCUGUCAGCAUACAAGGUCACAGCUGUCAAAAAUGCAUCAGGAACACAGGACAGAGAUGCUCGAAAUCUACCCCAGUGGUGGGAGUUACUGAGGAAUGAACAGUCAGCGUCUUGCGUACCUACGGACAUCUGAACACCCUUCUUCCCUCCUCUUUGUCUCAAUUGUGGUCUCAGGAAAGAGGAGCCAGCCUGCUGCUGCCUCUUGGUUU
This is an RNA transcript of Numida meleagris (helmeted guineafowl), 8737 nucleotides long. It is a transcript of the gene named transient receptor potential cation channel subfamily V member 2-like, with no coding region annotated. NCBI's taxonomy places the organism in Eukaryota, Metazoa, Chordata, Aves, Galliformes, Numididae. The record is from RefSeq and is a predicted model, not a curated record. The transcript is spliced from 25 exons.